RNAcentral lists this transfer RNA (73 nucleotides) under Stegodyphus mimosarum. It matches the Rfam family "tRNA". From Rfam's summary of the family: Transfer RNA (tRNA) molecules are approximately 80 nucleotides in length. Their secondary structure includes four short double-helical elements and three loops (D, anti-codon, and T loops). The record is from Rfam by way of RNAcentral. Lineage: Eukaryota; Metazoa; Arthropoda; Arachnida; Araneae; Eresidae.
GCCUUCGUGGUGUAGUGGUCAGUACGCUCGACGCGUAUUCGAGAGGUCCAUGGUUCGAGUCCCGGCGAGGGCA